UACGUAGGGGGCAAGCGUUGUCCGGAAUCAUUGGGCGUAAAGGGCGCGUAGGCGGCCUUCUAAGUCGAACGUGAAAUCCCCGGGCUCAACCCGGGAACUGCGUCCGAUACUGGGAGGCUUGAAUCCGGGAGAGGGAUGUGGAAUUCCAGGUGUAGCGGUGAAAUGCGUAGAUAUCUGGAGGAACACCGGUGGCGAAGGCGGCAUCCUGGACCGGUAUUGACGCUGAGGCGCGAAAGCCAGGGGAGCAAACGGG
This 253-nucleotide ribosomal RNA is filed under the name uncultured bacterium. RNAcentral's name for it is "partial 16S ribosomal RNA". It matches the Rfam family "Bacterial small subunit ribosomal RNA", at positions 524 to 776 of the family's 1533-position model. The record is from RNAcentral.